AUGAACGCUAGCGGCAGGCCUAAUACAUGCAAGUCGGACGGGAUAGGAGAGCUUGCUUUCCUUGAGAGUGGCGCACGGGUGCGUAACACGUAUGUAACCUACCUUAUCCAGGGGGAUAGCCUCUCGAAAGAGAGAUUAAGACCGCAUAACAUUAUUGAACAGCAUUGUUUAAUAAUCAAAUAUUUAUAGGGAUAAGAUGGGCAUGCGGGACAUUAGCAGUUGGCGGGGUAACGGCCCACCAAGGCGACGAUGUCUAGGGGAUCUGAGAGGAUCGACCCCCCACACUGGUACUGAGACACGGACCAGACUCC
This 311-nucleotide ribosomal RNA is filed under the name uncultured bacterium. RNAcentral describes it as "bacterial SSU rRNA". It matches the Rfam family "Bacterial small subunit ribosomal RNA", at positions 29 to 339 of the family's 1533-position model. The record is from RNAcentral.